Acanthopagrus latus (yellowfin seabream) is the source of this 478-nucleotide long non-coding RNA. RefSeq lists it as uncharacterized. The record is from RefSeq and is a predicted model, not a curated record. The transcript is spliced from 4 exons. Lineage: Eukaryota; Metazoa; Chordata; Actinopteri; Spariformes; Sparidae.
GGAAAUGCUCAUCCUCUUGACCUUUGUUUGGGAACGCAUGCAUUUCUGCACAGACAACAUAUAUAUACGCCCACCUCCGACGUAAACGGCAGUUUCCCUGCAAAGUUGCUGAAAAGUCAACGGAUUGUUAAAAUCCAGAGUGACAUCAGGCCAUCUUCCAAGUAUGUGGUCUUCCUUUGCAAGAUUUAGACUUGCAACCUGGAAAACGGUGGUAGACUAUGGCAUUUAAGGUUCCCACCCUGAGCGUGCCACCAGAGGGAAAUGCCUGCCAUGUAAUUAUCGUCUAUAGAGGUGUGGUUCUCAAAUGGUGUGCCACGAUGCAAGUCCAGGUGUGCCGUGGGAUUUUGUCACAACCAUGCAUGCAUUACUGCAAUACACAACUAUUCAAAAGCAGUUACCACCACGUUUCAUCAGAGGCAGCCUCAGGAUCGAUUCCCAGCAGCUGAUUAGGAAUCAAGCGGGGGCUGUAGUAGCCCGG